RNAcentral lists this ribosomal RNA (473 nucleotides) under Trichoderma sp. CHTAM36. RNAcentral describes it as "eukaryotic LSU rRNA". It matches the Rfam family "Eukaryotic large subunit ribosomal RNA", at positions 151 to 649 of the family's 3401-position model. Lineage: Eukaryota; Fungi; Ascomycota; Sordariomycetes; Hypocreales; Hypocreaceae. The record is from RNAcentral.
GAGGAUGCUUUUGGUGAGGUGCCGCCCGAGUUCCCUGGAACGGGACGCCGCAGAGGGUGAGAGCCCCGUCUGGCUGGCCACCGAGCCUAUGUAAAGCUCCUUCGACGAGUCGAGUAGUUUGGGAAUGCUGCUCAAAAUGGGAGGUAUAUGUCUUCUAAAGCUAAAUAUUGGCCAGAGACCGAUAGCGCACAAGUAGAGUGAUCGAAAGAUGAAAAGCACCUUGAAAAGAGGGUUAAACAGUACGUGAAAUUGUUGAAAGGGAAGCGCUUGUGACCAGACUUGGGCGCGGCGGAUCAUCCGGGGUUCUCCCCGGUGCACUUCGCCGCGUUCAGGCCAGCAUCAGUUCGGCGCGGGGGAAAAAGGCUUCGGGAACGUGGCUCCUCCGGGAGUGUUAUAGCCCGUUGCAUAAUACCCUGCGCUGGACUGAGGACCGCGCAUCUGCAAGGAUGCUGGCGUAAUGGUCACCAGCGACC